RNAcentral lists this ribosomal RNA (458 nucleotides) under uncultured bacterium. RNAcentral describes it as "bacterial SSU rRNA". It matches the Rfam family "Bacterial small subunit ribosomal RNA", at positions 338 to 788 of the family's 1533-position model. The record is from RNAcentral.
CCUACGGGCGGCAGCAGUGGGGAAUAUUGCACAAUGGGCGCAAGCCUGAUGCAGCCAUGCCGCGUGUAUGAAGAAGGCCUUCGGGUUGUAAAGUACUUUCAGCGGGGAGGAAGGUGUUGUGGUUAAUAACCACAGCAAUUGACGUUACCCGCAGAAGAAGCACCGGCUAACUCCGUGCCAGCAGCCGCGGUAAUACGGAGGGUGCAAGCGUUAAUCGGAAUUACUGGGCGUAAAGCGCACGCAGGCGGUCUGUCAAGUCGGAUGUGAAAUCCCCGGGCUCAACCUGGGAACUGCAUCCGAAACUGGCAGGCUAGAGUCUUGUAGAGGGGGGUAGAAUUCCAGGUGUAGCGGUGAAGUGCGUAGAGAUCUGGAGGAAUACCGGUGGCGAAGGCGGCCCCCUGGACGAAGACUGACGCUCAGGUGCGAAAGCGUGGGGAGCAAACAGGAUUAGAUACCCU